UGGUGGUGUGAAUUGUCUGCUUAAUUGCGAUAACGAACGAGAUCUUCACCUACUAAAUAGCAACGCGGAACCUCAGGUUCCCGGUAGGCUUCUUAGAGGGACUAUAUAAGCUAAUUAUAUGGAAGCUGGAGGCAAUAACA
Molecule: ribosomal RNA, 140 nt
Filed under: uncultured eukaryote
Lineage: Eukaryota
Description: partial 18S ribosomal RNA
Rfam family: Eukaryotic small subunit ribosomal RNA
Source: RNAcentral